UGAGACUAUAGCCUUAAGGCUGGCUUGA
Molecule: non-coding RNA, 28 nt
Filed under: Mus musculus (house mouse)
Lineage: Eukaryota; Metazoa; Chordata; Mammalia; Rodentia; Muridae
Source: RNAcentral